GGACAAGAGAGCUUGCUCCAGUGGGCGCCCUGUUCCUCCUCCACAGCUCCAUGUGCGUCCUUCCUAAAGUGGGUUGCUCAUGGAAGAGGAGAACCUUCCCUAAAAAGAAGAGGACCUGUCUUCCUCCAAGGGUGUGUGAGUGGCUGUGCUCCCCUGCUGUGAAAACCUCCAAACAAGCUCUCAGGAGUUCAAGGCCAGCCUCAACUCUACAGUCAAUUCUAGGUCAGUCUCGGCUAUGAGACCUUGUCUCU
Molecule: small nuclear RNA, 251 nt
Filed under: Peromyscus maniculatus bairdii (prairie deer mouse)
Lineage: Eukaryota; Metazoa; Chordata; Mammalia; Rodentia; Cricetidae
Description: 7SK RNA (ENSPEMG00000002404.2)
Rfam family: 7SK RNA
About the family: 7SK was discovered as an abundant small nuclear RNA in the mid-70s but a possible function has only recently been suggested. Two independent studies have found that 7SK RNA binds the CDK9/cyclin T complex (known as elongation factor P-TEFb).
Source: RNAcentral